Molecule: ribosomal RNA, 253 nt
Filed under: uncultured bacterium
Lineage: Bacteria
Description: partial 16S ribosomal RNA
Rfam family: Bacterial small subunit ribosomal RNA
Source: RNAcentral
UACGAAGGGGGCUAGCGUUGCUCGGAAUCACUGGGCGUAAAGGGUGCGUAGGCGGGUCUUUAAGUCAGGGGUGAAAUCCUGGAGCUCAACUCCAGAACUGCCUUUGAUACUGAAGAUCUUGAGUUCGGGAGAGGUGAGUGGAACUGCGAGUGUAGAGGUGAAAUUCGUAGAUAUUCGCAAGAACACCAGUGGCGAAGGCGGCUCACUGGCCCGAUACUGACGCUGAGGCACGAAAGCGUGGGGAGCAAACAAG